This 169-nucleotide small nuclear RNA is filed under the name Mus musculus (house mouse). RNAcentral's name for it is "U1 snRNA". It matches the Rfam family "U1 spliceosomal RNA". Rfam says of the family: U1 is a small nuclear RNA (snRNA) component of the spliceosome (involved in pre-mRNA splicing). Its 5' end forms complementary base pairs with the 5' splice junction, thus defining the 5' donor site of an intron. Lineage: Eukaryota; Metazoa; Chordata; Mammalia; Rodentia; Muridae. The record is from RNAcentral.
AUACUUACCUGGCAGGGGAGAUACCAUGAUCACGAAGGUGGUUUUCCCAGGGCGAGGCUUAUCCAUUGCACUCCGGAUGUGCUGACCCCUGCGAUUUCCCCAAAUGCGGGAAACUCGACUGCAUAAUUUGUGGUAGUGGGGGACUGCGUUCGCGCUCUCCCCUGCCACA